This 208-nucleotide long non-coding RNA is filed under the name Mytilus galloprovincialis (Mediterranean mussel). Lineage: Eukaryota; Metazoa; Mollusca; Bivalvia; Mytilida; Mytilidae. The record is from RNAcentral.
GCUGGUGUUGGUGUUAAGGAAAUGGUUGUUGGUCUUGGUAAUUUUGUGGGCUUGGGGGUUCGAUUUGCAUUUUUAUAGUUUCAUAUUUUUCUUCUCUUUGAUUUUCUGCAUAUUGCUCUUUAUUCUUUAUAUUUCGUCACACUUUUGAUUUGUUAUCUAUACUUUUUUCCAAUCCUUAAUAUUUUCUUUUUGACCAUUAUUUUCUCAU